RNAcentral lists this ribosomal RNA (222 nucleotides) under uncultured bacterium. RNAcentral describes it as "partial 16S ribosomal RNA". It matches the Rfam family "Bacterial small subunit ribosomal RNA", at positions 129 to 334 of the family's 1533-position model. The record is from RNAcentral.
CCUUUGGGUGGGGAAUAACUCAGGGAAACUUGAGCUAAUACCGCAUAAUGCAGCGGCUCGACAUCGAGACAGUUGUUAAAGCGGGGGCUUCGCAAGAACCUCGCGCCUGAAGAGAAGCCUGCGGCAGAUUAGCUAGUUGGUAGGGUAAUGGCUUACCAAGGCGACGAUCUGUAACCGGCCUGAGAGGGCGGUCGGUCACACUGACACUGACAUACGGGUCAG